GGAGCGGGUUGGUUUGGUGGACCACCCAGCCCUAAAUGUGCCACACUGUACUUUGAAUGGUCUUUCAACAAGUGGUUCUGAAAGGACUCGAGAAUGAGACCUCACAUCCAUUUCUAAUGACGCAAAGGAUCUGAUUUGUUCAAAUAUUGGUAUCUAUUUGUUUAGCUGUCUGUCUGAGGUUUGUUUAUCUAUCUGUCUGUCUUUCUAUGCAGAGCAUGCUCGCUGAUGCUGAUCUUUGGUGUUUUCUUGUCCUCAUCUCUGUUAUUAGACUCUUCAGUGUCUUCCUGUCUGUCUGUCUGUCUGUCUGUCUGUCUGUCUGUCUGUCUGUCUGUCUGUCUGUCUGUCUGUCUGUCUGUCUGUCUCUCUCUCUCUCUCUCUCUCUCUCUCUCUCUCUCUCUCUCUCUGUGUCUGUCUGCUUGAUCUUGACCUUUGACCUGUGACCUGUCUCUCUCCGGCUCAGCUCUGCAGCCCAGGCGUUCUUGUGUACGUCGUCACCCCCCCAGCUCGCGCUCCAUGUCCCUCAGGGUCCGCAAAGGCCCAAGCUCUCGCUCACUCUACACUCGCUCGCUCUUCCUGCCAACCAUCCAAUCACUCAUGAUCCCCCCUCCCCCUUCAUACCCUCCUCCCCUCGCCCCUCCCGUGUCGCUGAGCCCCCUGUCCAGCCUGCCCGCCCGCCUGGAUCACCUGGGUAAGUGGGGACUGUGUGAGACCGCAGUACACCCUCCAGGCCAUGGGGAGGGGGGCGUGAGAGGGUGACUUCUGUCCAAAUGACUGCGUCACUGGUGCUGCUUCUGCUUCUGCUGCUAUUGCUGUUGAGUCUACUGUGUCGGAAGGUAAAGCCAUGGACAGAUUCUGUCCUCUAAAAGUCCGUCAGACACCGGGUUGGUAACGUCUUUGUUUUUUCCUUGAUAGAUAUGUCUUAUUUUUUUUCAAUAUAACACAUAACACAUUAUGUGGAGAAAAGAGUUUCAAAGAAGCUAGGUACUGUAAGUUGAUUUAAAGAGUCCUCGGAACAAGUUAUGCAGUAUAGCUAUAGUUUUGAUACACUUUUGAUGCUGAAUUACUUGUAUGGCAAGUGGUGCAGCCGAUCAUCAGUUUGGGUUUACAGUUGAAGACGGAAGUUAACAUACACUUAGGUUGGAAUCAUUAAAACUCGUUUUUCAACCACUCCACAAAUUUCUUAUUAACCUGUUAGGGCUAGGGGGCAGUAUUUACACGGCCGGAUAAAAAAACGUACCCGAUUUAAUCUGGUUAUUACUACUGCCCAGAAAC
Molecule: non-coding RNA, 1272 nt
Organism: Salmo salar (Atlantic salmon)
Lineage: Eukaryota; Metazoa; Chordata; Actinopteri; Salmoniformes; Salmonidae
Source: RefSeq, a predicted model, not a curated record